GUGAAUCAUCAAAUUUUUGAACGCACAUUGCACUUUCUGGUAUUCCGGAGCGUAUGCCUGUUUGAGGGUCAGUUAAAUCAACAUCGGUGUUGUUGCUGCUUUUCGUGGUGAGGCGUCGGAAUUGAGUUGUCUUACAUUCGGUUAAGUGACUUGAAUUUUUGUCUGAUUUUCGAACGUAUUUACAUUUCUUACGUACGUUACAU
RNAcentral lists this unclassified non-coding RNA (203 nucleotides) under Glomus sp. RNAcentral's name for it is "partial contains 5.8S ribosomal RNA and internal transcribed spacer 2". The stretch from base 1 to 71 matches the Rfam family "5.8S ribosomal RNA", at positions 84 to 154 of the family's 154-position model. Lineage: Eukaryota; Fungi; Glomeromycota; Glomeromycetes; Glomerales; Glomeraceae. The record is from RNAcentral.